AUUGAACGCUGGCGGUAUGCUUAACACAUGCAAGUCGAACGGUAACAGGCCUUCGGGCGCUGACGAGUGGCGGACGGGUGAGUAACGCGUAGGAAUCUGCCUCAUAGUGGGGGACAACGUGGGGAAACUCACGCUAAUACCGCAUACGCCCUACGGGGGAAAGCGGGGGAUCUUCGGACCUCGCGCUAUGAGAUGAGCCUGCGUUAGAUUAGCUAGUUGGUAGGGUAAAGGCCUACCAAGGCGACGAUCUAUAGCUGGUCUGAGAGGACGAUCAGCCACACUGGGACUGAGACACGGCCCAGACUCCUACGGGAGGCAGCAGUGGGGAAUAUUGGGACAAUGGGCGCAAGCCUGAUCCAGCAAUGCCGCGUGGAUGAAGAAGGGUCUUCGGAUUGUAAAGUCCUUUCGGCGGGGACGAUGAUGACGGUACCCGCAGAAGAAGCCCCGGCUAACUUCGUGCCAGCAGCCGCGGUAAU
This 476-nucleotide ribosomal RNA is filed under the name uncultured bacterium. RNAcentral describes it as "bacterial SSU rRNA". It matches the Rfam family "Bacterial small subunit ribosomal RNA", at positions 30 to 524 of the family's 1533-position model. The record is from RNAcentral.